CAGCAGCCGCCGCGGUAAUACGGAGGGUGCAAGCGUUAAUCGGAAUUACUGGGCGUAAAGCGCUCGCAGGCGGUCUGUUAAGUCAGAUGUGAAAUCCCCGGGCUUAACCUGGGAACUGCAUUUGAAACUGGCAGGCUUGAGUCUUGUAGAGGGGGGUAGAAUUCCAGGUGUAGCGGUGAAAUGCGUAGAGAUCUGGAGGAAUACCGGUGGCGAAGGCGGCCCCCUGGACAAAGACUGACGCUCAGGUGCGAAAGCGUGGGGAGCAAACAGGAUUAGAUACCCCAGUAGUCCCUGUCUCUUAUAA
Molecule: ribosomal RNA, 304 nt
Filed under: uncultured bacterium
Lineage: Bacteria
Description: partial 16S ribosomal RNA
Rfam family: Bacterial small subunit ribosomal RNA
Source: RNAcentral